RNAcentral lists this ribosomal RNA (253 nucleotides) under uncultured bacterium. Its description in RNAcentral is "partial 16S ribosomal RNA". It matches the Rfam family "Bacterial small subunit ribosomal RNA", at positions 524 to 776 of the family's 1533-position model. The record is from RNAcentral.
UACGGAGGGGGCUAGCGUUGUUCGGAAUUACUGGGCGUAAAGCGCACGUAGGCGGAUCAGUCAGUCAGGGGUGAAAUCCCGGGGCUCAACCCCGGAACUGCCUUUGAUACUGCUGGUCUGGAGGUCGAGAGAGGUGAGUGGAAUUCCGAGUGUAGAGGUGAAAUUCGUAGAUAUUCGGAGGAACACCAGUGGCGAAGGCGGCUCACUGGCUCGAUACUGACGCUGAGGCACGAGAGCAUGGGUAGCGAACAGG